Vicugna pacos (alpaca) is the source of this 1808-nucleotide non-coding RNA. NCBI's taxonomy places the organism in Eukaryota, Metazoa, Chordata, Mammalia, Artiodactyla, Camelidae. The record is from RefSeq and is a predicted model, not a curated record.
UGUUGUUGUUGUUGUUGUUGUUUGUAUGAGUCAUCAGCCCAAGAGGCCAGCAGCCCUAUGUCACUUAACUCAUAAGUGAUUUCACUGAAAUUUGACACUAUUUGCUUCCCGUUACAAUGUCUGUCUCCCCCAACAUUGCUAGGAUUUGUUUAGCUCAUUCCGCACAGUGGGAAUCCCUGAACCCACACGUUGGUCCACAUGUUGGCAUGGUGGCAGCUGGGGGCACAAUGGCAGUGGCUGGGUUACUUCCCACUUGUUUCCUUGCACUGUCCUGGCUCACACCUCCCUUUGAUUUCAGGACUCUCAACAGACACUACUUUAUCUCAUCCUUGAAGAACAUCUUUGUGGGGAUGGAGGACAGACACUUCCAGGAGAUACAUCACCCUCUACCCUCAUCCCAGAGAGGCCAAUGGGCACAACCUUCAGUGCUGGCUGAGAUGUUCCCAUAGGAAGGACACAGACUCCUCCAUGGCACCUCAUCCCAAUUAAUCAAGUCUUCCUGAACUCUCAAUUCAGCCAAAGCCAUCACUGAUUGCUCCAGACAAAUAUUUCACUGAUACCAACACCAACUUCCACCGAAGAACUGAUCAAGGACAAAUUUGGUCUGGCUACCUCCACCAAAAGUCAACUAAAUGUCAUUGCCAAUUCCCCUAGCUCCUGCUGGAGGCCUUCCAGAUGUUACAAAAGAACAAGGAAUAUGAAACUGGUUCUGUGCUUUCUCCCAAAGCUCAAGCUAGCACAUCCUUUGCUUCUUUCUGUAAAUAUUUAUUACAUGCCUACUAAAGCUGAACACAAAUAUCUGUACUACAAAGCAGUGAGUGAACCAUAAGUUCCCUGUGAACAAUACAGAUACUCUGGUGUACCAGUGAGAGACAGAUCUCCACAAGCUGGUAGUGUCAGGAACAGAAAGGAUGGAAGAAGUGCCACUGGAGCUGGGCAGGUGUUGGGCACAGCUUCAACAGAUAGAAGGUGGAACGGUGUGGUCAGGGGAGAGAGGUGCGUUAUUCAAGGAGUACCUAGUCUGUACUAAGCAUAAGCUGGAAGCUUUCACCUAUAUCAUCUCAUUAACCCCUCCUAUCAUUUUCAGAGAGAGUUAUCAUUAUCUCCAUGCAUAUAGUUGAGAAAACUGAAGCUCAGAGAGUUAAAUAAUUUGCCCAAGGUCACACAGCUAGUAAGUGGCAGAGCCUUGCCUUGAACCCAGAACUGAUUGCCCCUGAAAUCCAUGCUCUUGUCUCUGCACUGUGGUGCCAGGUGUGUCAGGAAAAGGGGAGGAGCCUAGUUUGUCUGGAGUGUUGAAUGUGUGUGAAGGAGAAGUAGAAACUGCCCACAAUGGUCACUGCGUGCAAGAGUGCUGCCCCAUCUCUGGGACUGCCAAGGCCAUUCCUACAGGAGGCCUGUCUCAAGAGAAUCUCAGCCUUGAGCUCCCUUGCUGCCAAUGCCCUUGGAAAGUCAGAAGAAACAGGGACAUGGGGAGAGGCAGUCCUCCAAGCACGCGUUCCUUCAAUGCCCCUCUCUUCCUUUCAGCAUUCCCAAUCUUGCCCUCUCCUGUAGUUCCUUCUUCUCAGUCUUGAGAGCCUUCCUUCCACACCCCACCAUUUGGUACUCUAUUUCCCCCUUCCGCUUCCUGUCAAACUUCCCUUAUUCCUGAUACACACUUGCCUCUGUCUUCCAAGGCUUCUUCUUUCCCUGACCCCUCAGCUCUCACUCACCAGGUCACCAAUGACCUCCUGAUUUUAAAAGUUCCAAUGAUUUCCUAUAGGAUUGCCAUCAGCUCCAUCAUUUGCUAGCUUGAUAAAUUACUUAUUCAC